UACGGGGGAUGCAAGCGUUAUCCGGAUUUAUUGGGUUUAAAGGGUGCGUAGGCGGACGGUCAAGUCAGCGGUAAAAAUGCGGUGCUCAACGCCGUACAGCCGUUGAAACUGGCGGGCUGGAGUUGGAGAGAAGUACGCGGAAUGCGCGGUGUAGCGGUGAAAUGCUUAGAUAUCGCGCAGAACCCCGAUUGCGAAGGCAGCGUACCGGCUCCACACUGACGCUGAGGCACGAAAGCGUGGGUAGCAAACAGG
This 252-nucleotide ribosomal RNA is filed under the name uncultured Bacteroidales bacterium. RNAcentral's name for it is "partial 16S ribosomal RNA". It matches the Rfam family "Bacterial small subunit ribosomal RNA", at positions 524 to 776 of the family's 1533-position model. The record is from RNAcentral. Lineage: Bacteria; Pseudomonadati; Bacteroidota; Bacteroidia; Bacteroidales.